RNAcentral lists this ribosomal RNA (361 nucleotides) under Gigaspora sp. J23Gig. Its description in RNAcentral is "eukaryotic LSU rRNA". It matches the Rfam family "Eukaryotic large subunit ribosomal RNA", at positions 199 to 508 of the family's 3401-position model. The record is from RNAcentral. Lineage: Eukaryota; Fungi; Glomeromycota; Glomeromycetes; Diversisporales; Gigasporaceae.
GGUAUCAUAGAGGGUGAGAAUCCCGUGUAAACCAACCACUGGAACGUUAUUAAUACGUUUUCUAAGAGUCGAGUUGUUUGGGAAUGCAGCUCUAAAUGGGUGGUAAAUUUCACCUAAUGCUAAAUAUAAGCGAGAGACCGAUAGUGAACAAGUACCGUGAGGGAAAGAUGAAAAGAACUUUGAAAAGAGAGUUAAAUAGUACGUGAAAUUGUUGAAAGGGAAACGAUUGAAGUCAGUCAUGCUAGUGAAAAAUCAGUUUGACGGGUUUUGAGUUCGGGAGUAGAGGCAGGGUAAAACCGUUUCUCUUUUGAACUUGGGAUUUGUUAGAUGUACUUUUUCUUUGGCAGGUUAGCGUCGAUUU